Molecule: ribosomal RNA, 482 nt
Filed under: uncultured bacterium
Lineage: Bacteria
Description: partial 16S ribosomal RNA
Rfam family: Bacterial small subunit ribosomal RNA
Source: RNAcentral
AUUGAACGCUGGCGGCAUGCUUUACACAUGCAAGUCGAACGGUAACAGGCCGCAAGGUGCUGACGAGUGGCGAACGGGUGAGUAAUGCAUCGGAACGUGCCCAGUCGUGGGGGAUAACUACUCGAAAGAGUAGCUAAUACCGCAUACGAUCUAUGGAUGAAAGCGGGGGACCGUAAGGCCUCGCGCGAUUGGAGCGGCCGAUGUCAGAUUAGGUAGUUGGUGGGGUAAAGGCUCACCAAGCCAACGAUCUGUAGCUGGUCUGAGAGGACGACCAGCCACACUGGGACUGAGACACGGCCCAGACUCCUACGGGAGGCAGCAGUGGGGAAUUUUGCACAAUGGGCGCAAGCCUGAUCCAGCAAUGCCGCGUGCAGGAAGAAGGCCUUCGGGUUGUAAACUGCUUUUGUCCGGAACGAAACGGCUCUGGUUAAUACCCGGGGCUAAUGACGGUACCGUAAGAAUAAGCACCGGCUAACUACGUG